GACGAACGCUGGCGGCGUGCUUAACACAUGCAAGUCGAACGGAAAGGCCCUGCUUUUGUGGGGUGCUCGAGUGGCGAACGGGUGAGUAACACGUGAGUAACCUGCCCUUGACUUUGGGAUAACUUCAGGAAACUGCGGCUAAUACCUGCUAGGAGCUCCUGCUGCAUGGUGGGGGUUGGACAGUUUCGGCGGUGGGGGAUGGACUCGCGGCUUAUCAGCUUGUUGGUUGGGUAGUGGCUUACCAAGGGUUUGACUGGUAGGCGGCCUGGGAGGGUGAACAGCGACAAUGGGACUGAGGUACGGACCAGACUGCAACGGGAGGCAGCAGUGGGGAAUAUUGCACAAUGGGCGGAAGCCUGAUGCAGAAACCCCGCGUGCGGGAUGACGGCCUUCGGGGUGUAAACCGCUGUCGGCUGUGACGAGGCGGGAGUGACGGUAAUGGGUAAAGAAGCACCGGCUAACUACGUG
RNAcentral lists this ribosomal RNA (468 nucleotides) under uncultured bacterium. RNAcentral describes it as "partial 16S ribosomal RNA". It matches the Rfam family "Bacterial small subunit ribosomal RNA", at positions 28 to 507 of the family's 1533-position model. The record is from RNAcentral.